Sinocyclocheilus grahami is the source of this 1336-nucleotide long non-coding RNA. The record is from Ensembl. Lineage: Eukaryota; Metazoa; Chordata; Actinopteri; Cypriniformes; Cyprinidae.
AUCAGGUCGACUUUAUGAGAUGUUCCACAUUUUAAAAAAAAAGUGUUGACAGGAGGUAGUUGCUAUCUUUGGUUAUCUAGCUGUAUGAGUGUUUAUCUGCCUUCAUAAAGCUAGAUAACCGAAAGUAGAAACGUCCUCCUUAACUGCAUAGUGGACAAGUUGGGAAGCAAUGAUGGCAGGGAACUGCGUGAGGCUUCUCAAACUGCAGUGUCUUUGUGAUAGACCAGAGGACUGGCACUAAGGGGGAAAACGGCAUCUGCUCCCCUCCCUUCUUCAUCAACGGAAGCAUUUAGUGCCAUCUGUGCCCCAGGAGAAAAGAGGAAAAAAAGGAAGGAGUGAGACUCUACAUCCCAAGUGCCAAUGGGGACAAAGAGGCUGCCAGUUGCCACGGACCACCAGAUGCUGGAAGACUGCAAGUCUGAAUGAGGGGUGUGCUUUCAGGAAGCCAUCUUGAUGGAGAAGCUGGCUGCUGCUCCCUAAAAUGGCUGUGUUGGCAUGAGGCUCCUGGCAAUAAAACGCUGAAAAAUUCCCAUCGUUGUCAUCAGCUGCUGGAGAAACCAAGGCCAUCCUGCUAUGUUUGAGUCAAAUGGUCAAUCACAUCACCUCAGGAAUCCAGUGUGCAGCAUCUCUUCCGGAUGGUUCGCUGUGAAAAUUUAACAAGCAGAUGAGAGAUGAAUUAGAAUGUGCACUAAUUGAUUUAACUGGGUAUCUUAAAACCUUGCAGACAAUCAGUAAGACUGGAUGGGUGUGUGGAUUUGGGCUGUUCACCCAGUUAAAUCUUAGAUGUUAGAAAAUGUGUUUUACAAUCUUAUCAGUGCUGUAUAAACUGAAGAGAAUAAUGUGCCUUAAUGUGUGAAAAGUUUACAGUGAAAGUAGUUGUUAUUGAAACAUUUCAGUGCAUGGGAAUUUGCGAUCCCUAUUUUAAAUACUAGUAUUUUUAAUGUUAGUCAUCAUUGUUUCAUGUUAUUAUAUUAUAAAAUGUGCCUGUUUCAGUUGAUGUACAGGAAGGAAAUUGGUUAAUCCAGAUAUUUUGUAUGGCUGUAUGUAUGGUUUAAGAAUUAUGCUCAGUUUCUCUCUGCAUUAUCAUUUGUCUGAUUAUGUGAUAUGUGAAAAACGUAUUGAACUGCACAAAUAAACAACAUUAAAGCACUGACAGAAUGAUUGUUGACACUGAAAGCCAUUUUAAAUUAUACUCUGUAUAGAAAUGUACUUUAAUGGGAGGUGGACGUCAACACAGCUUCACAUGUAGUGGCCACAGGCUAUUUUGUAACCACCUACUUCAAGACAGCUUGACAGCUCAUAGUUCUAGUGCUCCUGUCAGCACCUUGGACAGCAC